CGUUAUAGCUUAGUCGGUAGAGCAUUCGAUUCGUAAUCGAAAGGUCGGCGGUCCGAUUCCGCCUAACGG
This 69-nucleotide transfer RNA is filed under the name bovine gut metagenome. It matches the Rfam family "tRNA". From Rfam's summary of the family: Transfer RNA (tRNA) molecules are approximately 80 nucleotides in length. The record is from RNAcentral.